UAGUCAGGGAAGACCAACCGAAUGCUAAUUUCAAUUAAAAUACCAUUUAACUACAUGAACCUCCUGAAGCAGCACAAUAAACCCACUGCCUUUGCAGGGUAGCCCUGCGCAUGUGAUCACAAAUACAUCAUCAUAUCCACAGCUGUAACUAAAAUUUACUAUGUCCAAAUCCCAUGUCUAGUUCAUGACCAUAUAUCCCCUGACUAUGGCCAGCCAUUGCAAAAGGAUGAACGGGCUUAGAUUUUGACCUGAGUUCCAUCUCGAUGAGCCUUUGCAGAGCCUCCGGAUGAUAUGUUCCACCACCAACGUCAGGAGCUUGUGUUGGUAUUCCAAUGCCACCAAAGUUGGUUUGCCUUUGACCAAAAGGGAAACCUUGCA
This 378-nucleotide unclassified non-coding RNA is filed under the name Hevea brasiliensis (rubber tree). The record is from RNAcentral. Lineage: Eukaryota; Viridiplantae; Streptophyta; Magnoliopsida; Malpighiales; Euphorbiaceae.